GUGCCAGCCGCCGCGGUAAUACCCGCAGCCCGAGUGGUGCUCGUUAUUAUUGGGCCUAAAACGUCCGUAGCUGGCCUACUAAAUUCAUGUGGAAAUCGGAGGGCUCAACCCUCCGAAGGGCGUGAACACUGGUAGGCUUGGGACUGGGUGAGGUCGGAGGUACUCCCGGGGUAGGGGUGAAAUCCUGUAAUCCUGGGAGGACCACCAGUGGCGAAGGCGUCCGACUAGAACGGAUCCGACAGUCAGGGACGAAGCCCUGGGGCGCAAACGGGAUUAGAUACCCCCGUAGUCC
Molecule: ribosomal RNA, 292 nt
Filed under: uncultured bacterium
Lineage: Bacteria
Description: partial 16S ribosomal RNA
Rfam family: Archaeal small subunit ribosomal RNA
Source: RNAcentral